AUGGAGCCGACCUUGAAAUACCACCCUUUAAUGUUUGAUGUUCUAACGUGGACCCGUGAUCCGGGUUGCGGACAGUGUCUGGUGGGUAGUUUGACUGGGGCGGUCUCCUCCUAAAGAGUAACGGAGGAGCACGAAGGUUGGCUAAUCCUGGUCGGACAUCAGGAGGUUAGUGCAAUGGCAUAAGCCAGCUUGACUGCGAGCGUGACGGCGCGAGCAGGUGCGAAAGCAGGUCAUAGUGAUCCGGUGGUUCUGAAUGGAAGGGCCAUCGCUCAACGGAUAAAAGGUACUCCGGGGAUAACAGGCUGAUACCGCCCAAGAGUUCAUAUCGACGGCGGUGUUUGGCACCUCGAUGUCGGCUCAUCACAUCCUGGGGCUGAAGUAGGUCCCAAGGGUAUGGCUGUUCGCCAUUUAAAGUGGUACGCGAGCUGGGUUUAGAACGUCGUGAGACAGUUCGGUCCCUAUCUGCCGUGGGCGCUGGAGAACUGAGGGGGGCUGCUCCUAGUACGAGAGGACCGGAGUGGACGCAUCACUGGUGUUCGGGUUGUCAUGCCAAUGGCACUGCCCGGUAGCUAAAUGCGGAAGAGAUAAGUGCUGAAAGCAUCUAAGCACGAAACUUGCCCCGAGAUGAGUUCUCCCUGACCCUUUAAGGGUCCUGAAGGAACGUUGAAGACGACGACGUUGAUAGGCCGGGUGUGUAAGCGCAGCGAUGCGUUGAGCUAACCGGUACUAAUGAACCGUGAGGCUUAACCUU
This 751-nucleotide ribosomal RNA is filed under the name Escherichia coli. RNAcentral describes it as "partial 23S ribosomal RNA". It matches the Rfam family "Bacterial large subunit ribosomal RNA", at positions 2180 to 2925 of the family's 2925-position model. The record is from RNAcentral. Lineage: Bacteria; Pseudomonadati; Pseudomonadota; Gammaproteobacteria; Enterobacterales; Enterobacteriaceae.